AGUGUCCCUCCUGACUUUUUAGCAGUCCUGGGUAAAUAGUGAUUUGCCCCCACUUUACCUAGCUUCUCACCGGCUGGCCCUUUGCAGGCUAAGGAAGCAACCUCUGCAAAGACUUGAUUUUUGUGGUCACUUGCAGCCCCCUUUCAUCCAUCCCCCAACUCCUUCCUCCCUCUAAGUGGCAUUGUAAAACUCAACAGUGACAAAGAGACAAAGUAAGGUUCCAGGCUCCGAUUCUUGGAGACCUGAGGGCUUGAGGGCAGUUUACAUACGGGUCAGACGCGGCUGGAGGCCAAGGUCAAGUUGAAAGUUGCUGUCUAGUCAGCGUGAGAAACUGCAAUGAAAGCCUGGAGGCCGGCCGCCCACCUCCCCUCA
Molecule: long non-coding RNA, 372 nt
Filed under: Meriones unguiculatus (Mongolian gerbil)
Lineage: Eukaryota; Metazoa; Chordata; Mammalia; Rodentia; Muridae
Description: HOXA transcript at the distal tip, conserved region 2 (ENSMUGG00000000870.1)
Rfam family: HOXA transcript at the distal tip, conserved region 2
Source: RNAcentral